CCUACGGUUGGCAGCAGUGAGGAAUAUUGGUCAAUGGGCGCGAGCCUGAACCAGCGAAGUCGCGUGAGGGAAGACGGUCCUAUGGAUUGUAAACCUCUUUUGUCGGGGAGCAAAAGACGCCACGCGUGGCGUUCCGAGAGUACCCGAAGAAAAAGCAUCGGCUAACUCCGUGCCAGCAGCCGCGGUAAUACGGAGGAUGCGAGCGUUAUCCGGAUUUAUUGGGUUUAAAGGGUGCGCAGGCGGAAGCUCAAGUCAGCGGUGAAAUUGAGAGGCUCAACCAUAAAAUUGCCGUUGAAACUGGUUGACUUGAGUAUAUUUGAGGUAGGCGGAAUGCGUGGUGUAGCGGUGAAAUGCAUAGAUAUCACGCAGAACUCCGAUUGCGAAGGCAGCUUACUAAACUAUAACUGACACUGAGGCACGAAAGCGUGGGGAUCAAACAGGAUUAGAUACCCGGGUAGUC
RNAcentral lists this ribosomal RNA (460 nucleotides) under uncultured bacterium. RNAcentral's name for it is "partial 16S ribosomal RNA". It matches the Rfam family "Bacterial small subunit ribosomal RNA", at positions 338 to 795 of the family's 1533-position model. The record is from RNAcentral.